Molecule: ribosomal RNA, 460 nt
Filed under: uncultured bacterium
Lineage: Bacteria
Description: partial 16S ribosomal RNA
Rfam family: Bacterial small subunit ribosomal RNA
Source: RNAcentral
CCUACGGGUGGCAGCAGUGAGGAAUUUUGUUCAAUGGGCGCGAGCCUGAACCAGCCAAGUCGCGUGAGGGAUGACGGUCCUACGGAUUGUAAACCUCUUUUGCCGGGGAGCAAGCGUUCGUUCGUUAACGCACGUCGAGAGUACCCGGAGAAAAAGCAUCGGCUAACUCCGUGCCAGCAGCCGCGGUAAUACGGAGUGUGCGAUCGUUAUCCGGAUUUAUUGGGUUUAAAGGGUGCGUGGGCGGGAUGCCCAGUCAGCGGUAAAAAUGCGGUGCUCAACGCCGUCGAGCCGUUGAAACUGGCGUUCUUGAGGGGGCGAGAAGUAUGCGGAAUGCGUGGUGUAGCGGUGAAAUGCAUAGAUAUCACGCAGAACUCAGAUUGCGAAGGCAGCAUACCGGCGCCCUACUGACGCUGAGGCACGAAAGCGUGGGUAUCGAACAGGAUUAGAUACCCUGGUAGUC